AAUAUUGGACAAUGGGGGCAACCCUGACCUAGCCAUGCCGUGUGUGUUAAGAAGAUCUUCGGUUUGUAAAGCACUUUAAUUUGGGAGGAAGGGCCUUAGGUUAAUACCCUGACAUUUUGACUUAACCGACAGAUUAAGCACUGCCGAACUCUCAUCCUGCAGCCGCGGUAAUACAGUGGGUGCAAGCGUUAAUCGGAAUUACUGGGCGUAAAGCGCGCGUAGGUGGUUCAGUAAGAUGGGUGUGAAAUCCCCGGGCUUAACCUGGGAACUGCUUUCAUAACUGCUGAGCUAGAGUACGGUAGAGGGUAGUGGAAUUUCCUGUGUAGCGGUGAAAUGCGUAGAUAUAGGAAGGAACACCAGUGGCGAAGGCGACUACCUGGACUGAUACUGACACUGAGGUGCGAAAGCGUGGGGAGCAAA
This 420-nucleotide ribosomal RNA is filed under the name uncultured bacterium. RNAcentral's name for it is "partial 16S ribosomal RNA". It matches the Rfam family "Bacterial small subunit ribosomal RNA", at positions 360 to 772 of the family's 1533-position model. The record is from RNAcentral.